GACGAACGCUCGCGGCGCGCUUAACACAUGCAAGUCGAACGGAAAGUCCCUGCUUUUGUGGGGUGCUCGCGUGGCGAACCGGUGAGUUACCCGUGAGUAACCUGCCCUUGCCUUUGUGAUAACUUCCCCAAACUGGUGCUGAUACCGUAUAGGAGCUCCUGCUGCACUGUGGCGUUUGGCAAUUUUCGGCGGUUGGGAAUGGUCUCGCCGGUUAUCAGCUUGUUGGUGGGGUAGUGGCCUACCAAGGCUUUGUGGGGUAUCCGGCCUGCGAGGGUGACCGGCCACAUUGGGACAGAGAUGCGGCACGGACACGAACGGGAGGCAGCAGUGGGGAAUAUUGCACUAUGGGCGGAAGCAUAACGCAACAACGCCGCGUGCGGGAUAACGGCCUUCGGGUUGUAACCCGCGUUCGCCUGGGACGAAGCGAGAGUGACGAUAAUGGGUCAAGAGGCUCCGGAUAACUACGUG
Molecule: ribosomal RNA, 468 nt
Filed under: uncultured bacterium
Lineage: Bacteria
Description: partial 16S ribosomal RNA
Rfam family: Bacterial small subunit ribosomal RNA
Source: RNAcentral